GGGAAUUUCCUACAUGGAAAAAUCUGCCAGGGGAAACAUCAAUCCUGUCUUCAGCUCCGCUGUCCCUGGCCGGGCAGAGCACUCCACGUGCUCUGCAGAGCAAACCAGACCCAAACCAAACCAGCAUGCUCAAGCAUGGAUGCACACGUGCCUGCACACCAAGGUCUCCUCCAGCAGUCACCAAACACCGCUGGGACUUGGCCGUGCAGGUUAUGGGUAAUGACAUAUCACAUAACUCAUCUGUGGGCUGCUGGGUCCUCUCAGCUUCCUGCGUGCUCGCCCACUUACUGAAGGCGGGUUAAAUAUCCCUGCAAGUCUUUCCCAGGAGACUGAUUCAAUCCAAACCACUCAGCACAGAUGCAGUGGAGGUAGGGCAGAAGAUGUGCUGGCUUUCAACAAAAGCUUCACUUGGAAUUUAUGGUUUGUUGUUUUUUUUUAAGAAAAAGUGAGUUUGGAAAGACAUGUCUAAAGAAGGAACCCAAGUGCAAGCAGAACAUAAAAUUAAUUCAAGCACAGAGGCUGCACGAACAGCUCGAUUCCACCACUGCCAGCUUCCCUCAAGCACACGAGCAGUGGUGGCUCAGUGGAACUUUCCAUCUUCCCAGUCCAAGUAUUUGUCAGCUCCUGCAUCCUGAUUAAAUCUGCAAUCCUGGUAACUGGGGAUGGGGGAGAGGGCGAGGUUCAGCACUACCCACAGGAGCCUCACUCUGUAGGGAUCUGACAAUCUCGCUCCAAGACACGGCUCAUGGGACGGAAUUCAUCUGCCCUCCCCUGUCCAUUGCUCUCUGAGCUGUCCUGCCCUGUCCCUUGCACAUAGCCAGCUUAGGGGGCUGCCAGGGGUAGGGGCACAACGUGGUGACCAGAAAGGAUCUGUCAGCACAGCUGGACCAUGGCUGCCAGGCUCACCUGAAUGGCUGUGGGUCACUUCACUGCCUGGCCUUGCAGCCACACCUCUCUUGGAGGUCCAUCAGCGCAGGGAUGCCUGCAGGCAGCACCACAUUCCCCAGCUGUUGCUAUGGCUACAGGAAGCUGCUGCAUCCCUGCAUGCAGCAUCCUGCCUCACCGAGGGUCCUCGCAGCAACCAGCUGGCCUGGAGGACAUCCUUGAGAUGCUGCUUGCUUCACGAGUGGCUCUGAUGUCCCCUCACAGAAAAUCCAUGCCCCUCCUUCCCUUUUCCCCAGCACACUGGCCUCCUCUCAAGAGGAAGGAGCUCAGCAGCUCUGACUGCGGAGUACAAAGGCUCACACAGGGCACAGUGGAAGUCACAGGGAAACGGGAACACAAGGAGCUGUUUCACACAGAGACACCAGUUACCGACUUGUUGACUGGGAGAUGUGAGAGUGCACACCGGGGAAGUGUCAUGCAGCUCACUGGCCCAGUGACAAACACCUCUCACGCUUUGCUUGCGCUUUUCCCAGGGAACACGUCCGCCCGGAGCGUGCCCUGCUGUCACUGA
This 1456-nucleotide long non-coding RNA is filed under the name Cyanistes caeruleus (blue tit). Its description in RNAcentral is "lncRNA (ENSCCEG00000008898.1)". The record is from RNAcentral. Lineage: Eukaryota; Metazoa; Chordata; Aves; Passeriformes; Paridae.